RNAcentral lists this transfer RNA (73 nucleotides) under Stegodyphus mimosarum. It matches the Rfam family "tRNA". Rfam says of the family: Transfer RNA (tRNA) molecules are approximately 80 nucleotides in length. Their secondary structure includes four short double-helical elements and three loops (D, anti-codon, and T loops). The record is from Rfam by way of RNAcentral. Lineage: Eukaryota; Metazoa; Arthropoda; Arachnida; Araneae; Eresidae.
GCCUUCGCGGUGUAGUGGUCAGCACGCUCGACGCGUAACCGAGAGGUCCGUGGUUCGAGUCCCGGCAAAGGCG